This 71-nucleotide transfer RNA is filed under the name Acinetobacter sp. 163. RNAcentral describes it as "tRNA-Gly". It matches the Rfam family "tRNA". Rfam says of the family: Transfer RNA (tRNA) molecules are approximately 80 nucleotides in length. Their secondary structure includes four short double-helical elements and three loops (D, anti-codon, and T loops). Lineage: Bacteria; Pseudomonadati; Pseudomonadota; Gammaproteobacteria; Moraxellales; Moraxellaceae. The record is from RNAcentral.
GCAGAAUUAGUGUAAUGGUAACAUGUAACUCUUCCAAAGUUAAGUUGACAGUUCGAAUCUGUUAUUCUGCU